RNAcentral lists this unclassified non-coding RNA (253 nucleotides) under uncultured Ignavibacteriales bacterium. RNAcentral describes it as "contains 16S-23S intergenic spacer region". It matches the Rfam family "Bacterial small subunit ribosomal RNA", at positions 524 to 776 of the family's 1533-position model. Lineage: Bacteria; Pseudomonadati; Ignavibacteriota; Ignavibacteria; Ignavibacteriales. The record is from RNAcentral.
UACGUAGGGGGCAAGCGUUGUCCGGAUUUACUGGGUGUAAAGGGCGCGCAGGCGGGCUAGAAAGUCAGAGGUGAAAUCUCCCGGCUCAACCGGGAAACUGCCUUUGAUACUUCUAGCCUUGAGUACGGAAGAGAGAGAUGGAAUUCCAGGUGUAGUGGUGAAAUACGUAGAUAUCUGGAAGAACACCAGUUGCGAAGGCGAUCUCUUGGUCCGUUACUGACGCUCAGGCGCGAAAGCGUGGGUAGCAAACAGG